GCAAGGGUGGGGGUGCCAGAGGACAGGAGGAAAGCGGGAUCUGCGAGCAGGUGGCUGCUGCUGCAGGGGAGCAGAGGGGAGCUCUGCGCUGUGCCCGGCAGCGUGGGACUAGCAGGGACAUGGGGGUGCCCAGCCACCCUGUGGGGACCAGCCAGGCCACGGGGGACUGGCAUAGCUCCCUGGGCUCUUAGGCAUGGCUGAGCAGCCACUGCCUCCUGUGUUUGCUCCUUGCAGAGCCACAGCGUGCUCUGCUUGUCCUCAGUGUGCAGCAGGAGAGCUCUGGGGUGGGGGGCUCUGGGGGGACGGAGGGGCCUGGUGGCCACUGGCUGCUGUUCUGGACCACCGUGGGGCUGUAACCCCAUCUCUGCUUGCUGCUGUGGCCAUGCCCUUCUCCCCGGUGACCGCUUGCUCUGAGUCACCAGGAAAUCUGAUAAGGCUCCAGUAAAACCGCUGGAGCAGUGUGUGUGUGGGGGGGGUGUCACUUGGCACUGCAGCCAGGCUCAGCCACCCUGAUUUCUUGGCUCGUCUCCAGCAUCCUGACUGCCACAUGUGUGUGACCAGAGCAACCCAAAGCUGGGUUUGCCAAACCUAAACUUUAGGCACCAAGGGGCCUUUUGGUAAAGAUGCAGCCCCUAAUUCUGGGGAGAACUGCAUGUGGGGAAGGCAUGGGCCCUUUCCAUGACAUGUGGCAGCUGAGCCUCGAGCUUUGAAGGUGACGUUUGCUGGUUUGCAUCAGUUACAUUCUUGAUUUAAGCCUCCCAAAGCGUUAGCGGUUAGAAGGCAGGAGGGGAGCCUGUUGCAGCUUACGGGAUGGAAAAUCAUCCCCAGACGUGACCCAUCAAUUAAAGCAGAUGAUCAGCCCCAGCAGGAACCCGCUAGGUGUGUCAAUUCCUCUUUUCCGUUUGGCUGUGUGCUGGGUAGUCAAAUUUAUCUGUUUUAGCAAUUAAGCAAGAAACCCUGAGCGUUUCUCAUUCUGAAGGGCUUAGUCAUAUCUGGGUGAGAAGCCUGGGCCGGUGAUGCAGCUGGUGAUGUUUGGGUUGAGGCAGGACUGUGCUUUGGCAGCGGGAGACUCCUUGAGGCAAAAACACGGGGGCCGCUUGGCUUUCAGAAACAGUUCCUAGAAGCUAGAACAGAUUCUUGGCCAAGAGGAAAUCUCCUUGCUCCAGCCUGACCAUUUUAACCUGCAAACAAAUCCUAGUCCAGCUCCAGGUGUUUGCAGGACAAGCCACUUACAGAGUAAGAUCCGUGUCUGUGAAACUGCAUUUGCACCCUGGGACAUCCUAACUAUGCCACAGGGUGUAAAAUUGAACUUUAUGUGCGUGUUGUGGGGUUUUUACACUGAAUUUCCUUUUUUUUUCUGUGUAGCAUAGGUUGCGGAUAGAAAAGGAGACAGGUAUUUAUUUAAAUGCCUUUUAAAAUUAAUAAUAAUUUAAAAUGUCUUUUGUAUGACUUAAAUUGUUUUCCCUUCAACUGUAAGAAGGGCAAGCUCUCAGGCAGAUUUAUUCCUUGCUCCCUGUCCCUUUCUUGGAACAGCCACAGCCCUGUUCCACAAGGAUCCUCUCCAAGGUGUGGUUCUCCUGCAGGAGCUGUGCUGCUGGGAGAACACCUUGUUUGCAUUCCCCAGCUUUCAAGACUGCAUCAUGAAGCUCCAGGUCUGACAGUCGGAACCAGCAAGUCCUCCUUGGCUCCAGCUCUGGCAUUCCUGUCACCAGCUUGAGAAAAAAUCAAGCUCCCAUGCCCCAAUUUUCUCUCCACCAGCGAGGAAAACUUCCAUGUCAAGGACAUCUGAAGCCUGCCUGAUUUUCUGCGUGGAGCUUUGGGUCCCCAUGGAGAUGGCAUCUGAGAAAAGAAGAUAAAACCCUUUUGUGAGGAUGGAUCACGAUUAUUAUUUGUUUAAUUAGAGUCUGGACUGAUGCAGAGGCAACAAUUAACAAUUACCUUCUGUAAAGGACUUUGACAACAGCUGAAUAGGUUAAUGACUUGCAA
Long non-coding RNA from Vidua chalybeata, 1986 nucleotides. RefSeq lists it as uncharacterized. The record is from RefSeq and is a predicted model, not a curated record. The transcript has 2 exons. NCBI's taxonomy places the organism in Eukaryota, Metazoa, Chordata, Aves, Passeriformes, Viduidae.